Molecule: ribosomal RNA, 377 nt
Filed under: uncultured eukaryote
Lineage: Eukaryota
Description: partial 18S ribosomal RNA
Rfam family: Eukaryotic small subunit ribosomal RNA
Source: RNAcentral
CAAUAGCGUAUAUUAAAGUUGUUGCAGUUAAAAAGCUCGUAGUUGGAUUUCGGGGCAGCCUGGCUGGUCCGCCGCAAGGCGAGUACUGGUCAGCCGCCCUUCCUCUCGAAAGCCCCGACUGCUCUUCGUUGCCGUGGUCGGGUAGUUCGGGACGUUUACUUUGAAAAAAUUAGAGUGUUCAAGGCAGGCCUACGCCUGAAUACAUUAGCAUGGAAUAAUGGAAGAGGACCUCGGUCCUAUUUUGUUGGUUUCCAGGGCCGAAGUAAUGAUUAAGAGGGACAGUUGGGGGCAUUCGUAUUUAAUUGUCAGAGGUGAAAUUCUCGGAUUUAUGAAAGACGAACAACUGCGAAAGCAUUUGCCAAGGAUGUUUUCAUUAA